Molecule: ribosomal RNA, 239 nt
Filed under: uncultured bacterium
Lineage: Bacteria
Description: partial 16S ribosomal RNA
Rfam family: Bacterial small subunit ribosomal RNA
Source: RNAcentral
ACGGCGGACGGGGGAGUAACGCGUGGGUAACCUACCCUGUACACACGGAUAACAUACCGAAAGGUAUGCUAAUACGGGAUAAUAUAUUUGAGAGGCAUCUCUUAAAUAUCAAAGGUGAGCCAGUACAGGAUGGACCCGCGUCUGAUUAGCUAGUUGGUAAGGUAACGGCUUACCAAGGCGACGAUCAGUAGCCGACCUGAGAGGGUGAUCGGCCACAUUGGAACUGAGACACGGUCCAA